Molecule: ribosomal RNA, 569 nt
Filed under: Acanthosiphonia echinata
Lineage: Eukaryota; Rhodophyta; Florideophyceae; Ceramiales; Rhodomelaceae
Description: eukaryotic LSU rRNA
Rfam family: Eukaryotic large subunit ribosomal RNA
Source: RNAcentral
UUGCAAAGCACUCUGAAAAGAGGGUGAAAAGAACCUGAAACCGUUAUGUUGAGAGCGUAUUGCAGCAGAGUGAAGGGUGCGUUUUGUUCAGCUUGCGCUUGCGUAGGUGUACUCAGGACGUUAUCCGCCAGUCGUGAGCUUCCGGUGGCUUAUUUUUAAGUUGCUGGGGGUGGAGGGCUCCCUUCGGGUGAGGACGAAUUCUGGAUAAUGCUGCGAUUCGACCCGUCUUGAAACACGGACCAAGAAGUCUAGCGUACAUGCGAGUCAAAGGGUGUAAAAACCUGUGGGCGCAGUGAAAGCAAUUCUUAAAACGUUGCAGUUUGAGGCGGCAUACGAUCGUUGAUUGUAGGUCCGACCUAGAGCAUGUAUGCUAGGACCCGAAAGAUGGUGAACUAUGCUUGAGUAGGGUGAAGCCAGGAGAAAUCCUGGUGGAAGCUCGUAGCGGUGCUGACGUGCAAAUCGCUCGUCUAACUUGAGUAUAGGGGCGAAAGACUAAUCGAACCAUCUGGUAGCUGGUUUCCUCCGAAGUUUCUCUCAGGAUAGCGGACCGAUAUGAUGUUGUUGUGUGC